UACCAGCACCCCGAGUGGUCGGGGCGAUUAUUGGGCCUAAAGCCUCCGUAGCCGGUUCUACAAGUCUUCCGUUAAAUCCACCUGCUUAACAGAUGGGCUGCGGAGGAUACUAUAGAGCUAGGAGGCGGGAGAGGCAAGCGGUACUUAGUGGGUAGGGGUAAAAUCCGUUGAUCCAUUGAAGACCACCAGUGGCGAAGGCGGCUUGCCAGAACGCACUCGACGGUGAGGGAUGAAAGCUGGGGGAGCAAACCGG
RNAcentral lists this ribosomal RNA (253 nucleotides) under uncultured bacterium. RNAcentral describes it as "partial 16S ribosomal RNA". It matches the Rfam family "Archaeal small subunit ribosomal RNA", at positions 474 to 727 of the family's 1478-position model. The record is from RNAcentral.